GAUGAACGCUGGCGGCGUGCCUAAUACAUGCAAGUCGAGCGAACAGACGAGGAGCUUGCUCCUCUGACGUUAGCGGCGGACGGGUGAGUAACACGUGGAUAACCUACCUAUAAGACUGGGAUAACUUCGGGAAACCGUAGCUAAUACCUGCGAAUAUAUGGAACCACAUGGGUCAAUAGUGAAAGACGGUUUUGCUGUCACUUAUAGAUGGAUCCGCGCCGCAUUAGCUAGUUGGUCAGGUAACGGCUUACCAAGGCAACGAUGAGUAGCCGACCUGAGAGGGUGACCGGCCACACUGGAACUGAGACACGGCCCAGACUCCUACGGGAGGCAGCAGUAGGGAAUCUUCCGCAAUGGGCGAAAGCUUGACGGAGCAACGCCGCGUGAGUGAUGAAGGUCUUCGGAUCGUAAAACUCUGUUAUCAGGGAAGAACACAUGUGUAAGUAACUAUUCACGUCUUGACGGUACCUAAUCAGAAAGCAACGGCUAACUACGUG
Molecule: ribosomal RNA, 497 nt
Filed under: uncultured bacterium
Lineage: Bacteria
Description: partial 16S ribosomal RNA
Rfam family: Bacterial small subunit ribosomal RNA
Source: RNAcentral